Molecule: ribosomal RNA, 2892 nt
Filed under: Stenotrophomonas maltophilia
Lineage: Bacteria; Pseudomonadati; Pseudomonadota; Gammaproteobacteria; Lysobacterales; Lysobacteraceae
Description: bacterial LSU rRNA
Rfam family: Bacterial large subunit ribosomal RNA
Source: RNAcentral
GUUAUAUGGUCAAGCGAAUAAGCGCACACGGUGGAUGCCUUGGCGGUCAGAGGCGAUGAAGGACGUGGCAGCCUGCGAAAAGUAUCGGGGAGCUGGCAACAAGCUUUGAUCCGGUAAUGUCCGAAUGGGGAAACCCACCCGCUUGCGGGUAUCCUGCAGUGAAUACAUAGCUGCUGGAAGCGAACCUGGUGAACUGAAAUAUCUAAGUAACCAGAGGAAAAGAAAUCAACCGAGAUUCCGUAAGUAGCGACGAGCGAACGCGGACUAGCCCUUAAGCUGGAUUGGUUCUAGGAAAACGCUCUGGAAAGAGCGGCCAUAGAAGGUGAUAGCCCUGUAUCUGAAAGGGCCAUUCCAGUGAAGACGAGUAGGGCGGGGCACGUGAAACCCUGUCUGAACAUGGGGGGACCAUCCUCCAAGGCUAAAUACUACUGACCGACCGAUAGUGAACCAGUACCGUGAGGGAAAGGCGAAAAGAACCCCGGAGAGGGGAGUGAAAUAGAACCUGAAACCGUGUGCGUACAAGCAGUAGGAGCUCCGCAAGGAGUGACUGCGUACCUUUUGUAUAAUGGGUCAGCGACUUACUGUUCGUGGCAAGCUUAACCGUAUAGGGGAGGCGAAGGGAAACCGAGUCUGAUAAGGGCGCAUAGUCGCGGGCAGUAGACCCGAAACCGGGUGAUCUAGUCAUGCCCAGGGUGAAGGUGCGGUAACACGCACUGGAGGCCCGAACCCACUCCCGUUGCAAAGGUAGGGGAUGAGGUGUGAUUAGGAGUGAAAAGCUAAUCGAACCCGGAGAUAGCUGGUUCUCCUCGAAAGCUAUUUAGGUAGCGCCUCAUAUGUAUCCUCUCGGGGGUAGAGCACUGUUAUGGCUAGGGGGUCAUCGCGACUUACCAAACCAUUGCAAACUCCGAAUACCGAGACGGACUGUAUGGGAGACACACGGCGGGUGCUAACGUCCGUCGUGAAAAGGGAAACAACCCAGACCCACAGCUAAGGUCCCAAAUUUUGUGCUAAGUGGAAAACCAUGUGGAAAGGCACAGACAGCCAGGAGGUUGGCUUAGAAGCAGCCACCCUUUAAAGAAAGCGUAAUAGCUCACUGGUCGAGUCGGUCUGCGGGGAAGAUUUAACGGGGCUAAGCACAGAACCGAAGCUUGGGGUGCAUACUUUGUAUGCGCGGUAGAGGAGCGUUCCGUAAGCCGUUGAAGGUGGAUUGAGAAGUCUGCUGGAGGUAUCGGAAGUGCGAAUGCUGACAUGAGUAACGAUAAUGCGGGUGAAAAACCCGCACGCCGAAAGCCCAAGGUUUCCUUGCGCAACGUUAAUCGGCGCAGGGUGAGUCGGCCCCUAAGGCGAGGACGAAAGUCGUAGUCGAUGGGAAGCAGGUUAAUAUUCCUGCACCUCGCGUAAGUGCGAUGGAGGGACGGAGAAGGUUAGGUGUACCAGGCGUUGGUUGUCCUGGGGAAAGGCGGUAGGUUUGGAUCUUUGGCAAAUCCGGGAUCCUUUAAGACCGAGCACCGAGACGAGCCUUUAUGGCGAAGUCACUGAUACCACGCUUCCAGGAAAAGCUCCUAAGCUUCAGCUUACGCAGACCGUACCGUAAACCGACACAGGUGGGUAGGAUGAGAAUUCUCAGGCGCUUGAGAGAACUCGGGUGAAGGAACUAGGCAACAUGGCACCGUAACUUCGGGAGAAGGUGCACCCUUUUUGGUGGCUCGUGCGAGCUAUAGCUGAAGAGGGUCGCAGUAACCAGGCCGCUGCGACUGUUUAUCAAAAACACAGCACUCUGCAAACACGAAAGUGGACGUAUAGGGUGUGACGCCUGCCCGGUGCUGGAAGGUUAAUUGAUGGGGUCAGCCGCAAGGCGAAGCUCUUGAUCGAAGCCCCAGUAAACGGCGGCCGUAACUAUAACGGUCCUAAGGUAGCGAAAUUCCUUGUCGGGUAAGUUCCGACCUGCACGAAUGGCGUAACGACAGCGGCGCUGUCUCCACCCGAGACUCAGUGAAAUUGAAAUCGCUGUGAAGAUGCAGCGUUCCCGUGGCAAGACGGAAAGACCCCGUGAACCUUUACUAUAGCUUUACACUGAACGUUGAGUUCGUCUGUGUAGGAUAGGUGGGAGGCUAUGAAACUGUGGCGCUAGCUGCAGCGGAGCCAUCCUUGAAAUACCACCCUGUCGUGCUUGACGUUCUAACCUGGGCCCAUUAUCUGGGUCGGGGACCGUGUAUGGUGGGUAGUUUGACUGGGGCGGUCUCCUCCUAAAGAGUAACGGAGGAGCUCGAAGGUACGCUCAGCGCGGUCGGACAUCGCGCACUGUGUGCAAAGGCAUAAGCGUGCUUGACUGCAAGAUCGACGGAUCAAGCAGGUAGGAAACUAGGACUUAGUGAUCCGGUGGUUCUGUAUGGAAGGGCCAUCGCUCAACGGAUAAAAGGUACUCCGGGGAUAACAGGCUGAUACCGCCCAAGAGUUCAUAUCGACGGCGGUGUUUGGCACCUCGAUGUCGGCUCAUCACAUCCUGGGGCUGUAGUCGGUCCCAAGGGUAUGGCUGUUCGCCAUUUAAAGUGGUACGCGAGCUGGGUUCAGAACGUCGUGAGACAGUUCGGUCCCUAUCUGCCAUGGGCGUUGGAGAUUUGAGAGGGGCUGCUCCUAGUACGAGAGGACCGGAGUGGACGAACCUCUGGUGUUCCGGUUGUCACGCCAGUGGCAUUGCCGGGUAGCUAUGUUCGGAAGCGAUAACCGCUGAAAGCAUCUAAGCGGGAAGCGCGCCUCAAGAUGAGAUCUCCCGGGGCACAAGCCCCCUGAAGGAACCAUGUAGACUACGUGGUUGAUAGGUCAGGUGUGUAAGUACAGCAAUGUAUUGAGCUAACUGAUACUAAUGAUCCGUGCGGCUUGACCAUAUAACCU